RNAcentral lists this transfer RNA (77 nucleotides) under Pseudomonadota bacterium. RNAcentral describes it as "Proteobacteria bacterium tRNA-Met". It matches the Rfam family "tRNA". From Rfam's summary of the family: Transfer RNA (tRNA) molecules are approximately 80 nucleotides in length. Their secondary structure includes four short double-helical elements and three loops (D, anti-codon, and T loops). Lineage: Bacteria; Pseudomonadati; Pseudomonadota. RNAcentral also lists the same sequence under 2 other names. The record is from RNAcentral.
GGCGCUUUAGCUCAGUUGGUUAGAGCACCGGAAUCAUAAUCCGGGUGUCCGGGGUUCGAGUCCCUGAAGCGCCACCA